AAUAUAGUGCCUGAUGAAAAGGGUAGCUUUGAUAGAGCUAAUAAUGAAAUUUUAUUUCCUAUAUUA
RNAcentral lists this transfer RNA (66 nucleotides) under Lauridromia dehaani. RNAcentral's name for it is "tRNA-Ile". The record is from RNAcentral. Lineage: Eukaryota; Metazoa; Arthropoda; Malacostraca; Decapoda; Dromiidae.